CUCUCUGUCCCUCUCUCUCCUUGUACCUAGAACUCAUUUAUUUCCUUGGAAGUUUUUCAAGUUUUACACACUUUUCGUUCUUACAUUUCCAAAUGGCGAACGACGCAAGUCCGAGUCACCGCGUUGCACUUUCCAUUCCCGCCCGGGAAGCUAUCGAUGAAAUUACGAGGGAAAUGGUGGUCGAAACUUAUCACAACUUGGUAGAAGCUUAUAACAGUGUGGCAAGAUAUUAUUACAACCAUUAUCACAAAGUCCCUCGAAAUACAUCAAUACUUUCGGGAGGUUUAUGGAUGUUUGAGUUGUUUAACGGCCACCACGGCCGAUUUGAAGAUAAUGUCAGUAUGUCACAACCAGUGUUCUUGUUGUUAUGCGAUGCGCUUCACGAUUUUGGAUUGACAUUGCCGCAGCGGGAGCAUGGCGUUCCGCUAGAAGAGAAGGUAGCAAUUUUUAUUUGUGCCUUGCAGGGUCUAUCUUGGAAACAUUUGCAAGAACGGUUCCAACACUCAAAGGAAACAUUGUCUCGCAAUUUUCAUGAGGUAAUACAAGUUAUGAUACCGUUUACAUCGGUUCAUAGUAGGAGUCUUACGCCCGAACAAGUACAACAAGGGGGUCAUCCACAUUUACGGUCGCAGCAGCAGUACUGGCCAUUCAAGGUGACAAUUUCCAUAAAUGUGAAAACUUUUUUAAAGCUUAGAAAAAAACAAUGAUUAAGUUAUGUUAAUUUGUGAAAAAUUAGUGCGUUGCGUAGGACUGCAUCGGUGCAUUGGACGGGACGCACGUGAUGGCUCGUGUCUCGCAGGAGUACGCCACAUCAUACUAUGGCCGGAAAGGCGUGCCGACAAAGAAUAUAAUUGCCGUAUGCGACUUUAAUUUGUGCUUCACCUUUGUCUCUGCCGGUUGGGACGGGAGCAUGCACGACAGCCGGGUUUCGCACUACGUGACUACUGAAGAGAAACAUCGCUUCCUGCACCAGGAAAAUACUAUUUGGUGGAUAGCGGUUACAGCAACAAGACAGGGUACCUAGCCCCCUACAAGGGGUAUAGGUAUCACCAAAAUGCCCAUCGAAAUCGAACACCGUAGAAUCAGUUCAAAUUGUUCAACAAGGCACAUUCGUCACUGCGUAGUUGUAUUGAGCGGACAUUUGGUGCCUGGAAGUCUAGGUGGGGGGCAUUGCGGAAUAUGCAGAAGUUAAGUUUUUCUAAUCAAGUUACGUUUGUAUGUGCGUCGAUGGUGUUACAUAACUUCAUACGCCGACAUAGCGAACUUGAUGAGGUCACGAUGACUAUCCUAGACAGUGACGAAUACGUCGCCCCUCAAAUGCCCGACCACGACGAAUACACACAGGUUGCUGAUGUGAUGGAGGAAGGGGACUCGAACCUUGCAAUGGCUGUUGUAAGAGCGAACAUUACGAACGCACUCGUACGGCAAGCGCAUCGGUAGGGGCGAAUUGGAAAUACAGGAAUAUUGGUUGAAGGUUGUUAAUAUCUGUAACUGAGAUUCAUAUUUGUAAACACGUUUGGUUUUAAUAGUUUCAUGUCUUUCGGAGUGUAGACAUUUUCUUUAAAGUGUAUUUUUAAAGGAAGUAUGUAAUACCCCUGUUCCGUAA
Molecule: non-coding RNA, 1606 nt
Organism: Camellia sinensis
Lineage: Eukaryota; Viridiplantae; Streptophyta; Magnoliopsida; Ericales; Theaceae
Source: RefSeq, a predicted model, not a curated record